RNAcentral lists this long non-coding RNA (1613 nucleotides) under Marmota monax (woodchuck). Lineage: Eukaryota; Metazoa; Chordata; Mammalia; Rodentia; Sciuridae. The record is from RNAcentral.
GAUUCUCCUGGCUCAGCCUCCAGAGUUGCUGGGAUUACAGGCGUGCCCCACUGUGCCCGGUUCCUUCCUUCUCUUUCUUCUUCAUGGUCACAAUAAAAUGUCAGGGGGGACAGACCUCAUUAGCCCAGGUCUCUGUCUUAGGGUCAGCCUGGGUCUGACAGAGUGACAGCAAGCACUCCCGUGAAGGUGAACAGAGCCCGAAUGUUGCUAGGUGCACAGGUAUUUGGCAUCCCUCCUCUGUGUGGUUCCUGUUCCUCCUUUCUGGUCUGAGUCUGGCCUAAUACAGUGUUUUCUCAGUGAGGCUGGGAAGUGAGGAUCUCAUCAUGUCUAACCUGCUGGACCCUAGGACACACGCCAGGUGUUAGCCACUAGGCAGGCACUAUGAGAGAAGAUUCCCUGUGCUCCACGGGAAAGGGCUGCUUCCCCUUCAAAGGCUGUUAACCGGCUUAGUCAAAGUUCUUUGUAUUUAAUUCAGAUAAAGCCAUCCAGAGACACUUAGAGGAGCCAGCCAAGAUGGCUGAGUCACUCAAUGCACUCUUUUUUAGGGGACCUAGUGUAAACUCUGUCCAUUGUACUACUAAAUUGCGCACCCAGAGGCAUCUCUGUGCACCACUUUUUGUGAUCAUGUGAUGGGUGACCGUGAACCGAGCAUGCACAGUAACUGCCCACCUCCACGUAUGCUGAUGAAUCUGCAUGAAUGCAUGAAUAUGCAUGAAGUCUCCCCAAUAACAGCCCUUUACUUUCUUUGUUCGGGGAGCUACUGCUUUGAGACUUCCCUCCAGUGCACUUCUUACCUGCUGCAAGUAACACACCUUUCCUUACUCUUUUCACUCAUGGUUGGGAUGAUCAGCUUGUUCCUCACCAAGGGGCAAACCCAUCGUGUUUGGUUGUGAGAGGACAGGCAGCCCAUCCAAUGCGUUCCUUUACAGCGAGAGUGAAAGAGGCAGAGAGAUUCCCACUCCAUCUCUUCAGCUGCACCUGUUCAUCUGUGGGCAACAUGGAUGCACCUUCACUGUGAACUUGGGAGAACCUGGUAGGAGAAUUUUCAAGCAGGGUAGAGACACUCCUGAAGAGCGCUCGCUUAAGGGAGCAUCAGGGGAUAAAGACAGAGCCUUUGGAACCAAACAGUCUCAAGUUAACUUUCAGGCUUCUUUGGCUACUUGCUGUGUACUUUUGAGCAAUUCCUUCACCUCUCUGAGCCUGGAUUUCCCCUGUCUGCAUGCUAUACAAAGUAGGCUUUACCCCUAGAUUUCUGUAGGAAUUAAGUAAGAUCAUUUAUGAAGCAUCUAGGACCAUGACUAACAUCUACUACAUAUUCGAUAGAUAUUAAUUCCUUUUCAUGUCUUGGAGCUCUUUGAAUCACUUAACUUACUCAUAUAUAGUAGCCUUGAGAGAUAUCAAUUUAAUUUAAUAUAUUUGUUAUCAUGCAUUUGUAUCAAUAUCUUAUUACUAUGUAACAUACAGUGAUCAUGUGUUAAUAUUUUACUAUAUUAAAAUAAUGAAUAUUUGAUAUUGGUCAAACACACCUAAUGAACAUAUGUUGGGUGUCUAUUACGUGUGAAGCAUGAGAAUCAUUGGCCUAUUCAUUGCAACUCAGGUGAUUUAAGCAUUUU